UUGCCUACGGGGGGCUGCAGUGGGGAAUAUUGGACAAUGGGGGCAACCCUGAUCCAGCAAUGCCGCGUGAGUGAUGAAGGCCUUCGGGUUGUAAAGCUCUUUUGCCAGGGACGAUGAUGACGGUACCUGGAGAAUAAGCCCCGGCUAACUUCGUGCCAGCAGCCGCGGUAAUACGAAGGGGGCAAGCGUUGUUCGGAAUUACUGGGCGUAAAGGGCGCGUAGGCGGCUUAUCAAGUCAGGCGUGAAAUUCCCGGGCUCAACCUGGGGGCUGCGCUUGAUACUGAUGAGCUUGAAUGCGGGAGAGGAUAGUGGAAUUCCCAGUGUAGAGGUGAAAUUCGUAGAUAUUGGGAAGAACACCGGUGGCGAAGGCGGCUAUCUGGCCCGUAAUUGACGCUGAGGCGCGAAAGCGUGGGGAGCAAACAGGAUUAGAUACCCCGGUAGUCUUG
This 446-nucleotide ribosomal RNA is filed under the name uncultured Rhodospirillaceae bacterium. RNAcentral describes it as "bacterial SSU rRNA". It matches the Rfam family "Bacterial small subunit ribosomal RNA", at positions 335 to 798 of the family's 1533-position model. The record is from RNAcentral. Lineage: Bacteria; Pseudomonadati; Pseudomonadota; Alphaproteobacteria; Rhodospirillales; Rhodospirillaceae.